AGGUGCGGCAAGGCGGCCGCGCCCGGGCACGGGCCCGGGUGAGGAAAGUCCGAGCACGGCAGGACACGGUGGUGGGUAACACCCACCCGCCCGAACUCCGGAGCGAUCCGGCGGUCGCGGGCGAGGGACAGCGCCACAGAAAUCACACCGCCGAUGGCCCGAGAGGGAUCAGGCAAGGGUGAAAUGGUGCGGUAAGAGCGCACCGCCCGCGUGGUGACACGCGGGGCAAGGCAAGCCCCACCGCGUGCAAGGUCACGCAGUUCCCGCGACGGGAAACCGUCGGCGACUCGUCCGGUCGAAAGGGAACGGGUAGACCGCUGGGGCCCUUCGGCGGCAUCGGUCGCGAGAUCGGUGCGGGAGAGUCCCGACCACGUCGGCAACGGCGUGGCGAGAGGAAUGGCCGCCGCCGGCGGGUCGAGCCCCCGUCAAGGCCCCGCCGGCACAGAACUCGGCUUACCAGCCGCACCCGACC
This 472-nucleotide RNase P RNA is filed under the name Phycisphaerae bacterium. Its description in RNAcentral is "RNase P RNA component class A". It matches the Rfam family "Bacterial RNase P class A". From Rfam's summary of the family: Ribonuclease P (RNase P) is a ubiquitous endoribonuclease, found in archaea, bacteria and eukarya as well as chloroplasts and mitochondria. The record is from RNAcentral. Lineage: Bacteria; Pseudomonadati; Planctomycetota; Phycisphaerae.